UUCCCGGGGCAGACCUUAGCCCGGAGCUUGCAUGGUGCCCGGCCGGCGUGGUGGCCCUGGCAGCCCCGCGGGGACCCCCAAAAGUUUGCUCACCCGGACCUUGGGAGGCAUGGAGGGCACAGGCUGUUUGGGAGUCGAGCUUGGCAGUCAGGAGGUCCCAGCGUUGGCGUGAAAGCCCCAGGUGACCUUCCCGACAGCCUCAGGGAAGUUUCCUCCAGCAAGAAGGCCGCGCCCAGAGCUGCUCCUCGCAAUCACCCCGAUGGCGGGCAGGCUGUUCUCGGGGUAACAGGUGCCAACCCUGACAGCAACUCUAUGCUGAGAAGGUGUCCCCAGUAACAGGCGUGAUGCGCGGUGAACCGCAAUCUGCGCCUGUCUGCGCUCCGUGGGUAAUCGUCUCUCUCACUUUCUCCGGACACAGCAUUCGCCAUGGAGGUGGCCCAGAGCCCGCGUCCCCAGCACCGACACAGGCAGAACACCAGAAGCCCUCCGCGGGAGCACCAGCGGCGCUCUGGUUUCUGGGCUGUGCAGAUGAAUAAUCUGCGGGUAAGACAGCUUGUCCAACUUGGCCAAUGAAGGAGAAAGAAGGGCUAGAAUUUGAAGAUCAGCUAGACUAUAUGCACGCAGACCCUUGGCCCAUUUGCAAAUUCCCAUGUGAAGUCAUACAAGGUCCAUGGCCUUCUGGCAAGAUUCCUUACCACAUCCUUGGCAAUGGUAAGUGGCAGUCCUUUCCCAGUUUCAGUCCUGAGAGCUGUUGGUGGGAUGGUGUCCCAGUGUGGGACCCAGGAACAGGAUGUCACAGUAGCCACGCAGAGUGCACGAUGCUUGGGGUUUAGCAUUCACACGAAAGACCUGAGGAAUUUAGUAUCAUGUUGCAAAUGCUUAUGUGUGAAGCACUGUGAUAGUCACAACACAUAAGAGGCAAAUUCUGUUCUUGCUGUCGGCUUGAAGUCAGCAAGGAAGAGAGAAGAUAACUGACUUUGUUACAGCAUGUGUGUGUGUGUGUAUGUGUGUGUGUCCUGGGGUUGAGGAGGAGGGUACAGACAGAGGAACCUAUGAAGCACCCGGUAACAAUGGGUGUCCACAAUAUUUAGAUUCGGAAAGGUUUUCACACUGCAUUUCUUCUCUUCUUAACAGCUCAGUAUUACCGUCUAGUCAUUUUUAGAUACAUUGUAUGAUGGCCACAAAAAACACCUUCUGGUCCAAAUCUGCAAGGAAAUGGGUAGACAGAGACGCUGGGAGUACUGCUCCCAACUAUACGGCAAAUUUCCAAAUGCAAUUGGCUGGCGGGUUCAGAUGCAACUCACUCUAUAUUGAAAAUAAAGCAUUAAUUCUACGUAUCACUCCAUUUGUUCUCUCAAAUGAAAAGUGAAAGAUUAAUUCAUUAGAAACAAAUCCUUUCAUAGGUCACUAGGUAACCAGUAUGAUUUUUUUUUGAUGGAGAUGUAUCAAUUCUAUAUUAAUUUCUAUAAUUUAUAAUCAU
This is a long non-coding RNA of Mustela lutreola (European mink), 1480 nucleotides long. RefSeq lists it as uncharacterized. The transcript is spliced from 3 exons. NCBI's taxonomy places the organism in Eukaryota, Metazoa, Chordata, Mammalia, Carnivora, Mustelidae. The record is from RefSeq and is a predicted model, not a curated record.